GCAAGUCUAGCGCACCUUUCGGGGUGAGCGGCGGACGGGUUAGUAACGCGUGGGAACAUACCCUUUGGUACGGAAUAGCCUCUGGAAACGGAGAGUAAUACCGUAUGAGCCCUUCGGGGGAAAGAUUUAUCGCCAAAGGAUUGGCCCGCGUUAGAUUAGGUAGUUGGUGGGGUAAUGGCCUACCAAGCCUACGAUCUAUAGCUGGUUUUAGAGGAUGAUCAGCAACACUGGGACUGAGACACGGCCCAGACUCCUACGGGAGGCAGCAGUGGGGAAUCUUGGACAAUGGGGGCAACCCUGAUCCAGCCAUGCCGCGUGAGUGAUGAAGGCCUUAGGGUCGUAAAGCUCUUUCGCCUGUGAAGAUAAUGACGGUAGCAGGUAAAGAAACCCCGGCUAACUCCGUGCCAGCAGCCGCGGUAAUACG
RNAcentral lists this ribosomal RNA (424 nucleotides) under Ruegeria sp. P5-29. RNAcentral's name for it is "bacterial SSU rRNA". It matches the Rfam family "Bacterial small subunit ribosomal RNA", at positions 57 to 527 of the family's 1533-position model. Lineage: Bacteria; Pseudomonadati; Pseudomonadota; Alphaproteobacteria; Rhodobacterales; Roseobacteraceae. The record is from RNAcentral.